AUUGCCUUAUAUGGUGAUAGAUGGUAGCUAUAGUGUGGGAAGCACAGCAUAAUAGGUAGAUUUGUCUAAUCAGCAUGUUGUACACCUGAAACUAAUGUAAUAUCAUCAUGUGUCAGCUACACUUCGAUUAAAAAGAAGGAAUAUUAGACUUUUUUUUGUGAAGCCUUGAAAUAGGAACAUUCUAAAAUGAGAAAACAGUUUAAGUUUUCAUUAUAGUUUUACACCUGAAGUAGAAAUGGGAUGCAAGAAAGAGAAGAACUGUAAAUAACUUUCACUAACUGAUACAGGUUGGUAUUACACACACAUCUAAAUAUACAAAGGUCAAGUAUUUAGUGAACUGGGGAGACUGGAAAGAAACCAAAGGAUGUUUCAACCCCUUGUUCCAGUUUCUCUUCCAUCCAGCAGAAACUAUUUCUGAUGUGUGAAUGCCAGCCUUGGUUUCCAGAACCAGACUCUAACUGCAGCACUUUCUGGAUGAAACAGACCUGAAGUCGUGGGGCAGGUGCUUUUCCCAGGGCUUCCCCCAGGCGCCCGUGACAGGUCACCCUGAGUCCUAUCAGGACACCGGACUUUGGCCGGUGUCGUUAUUGUCCACGUUAUUGCUGCCGAGCGCGGAAAACCGCAAGUGUUCAUCUGGGCCGGACCAGAAGCUUCUCUAAACUUGGAGGUCCUUAAAGCGGAAGGAGCACAGCCAUCGCCCGUCUCCCAUCUCCAAGAUGGCGGAGGCAGCUUCAACCUCACCUCUCGCGAGGAGUGUGUCUCACUGUCUCCGAUUAGCCCCGAGGUCAGAGGUAUAACAAAGGCUCUUGAGAGCUCAGGCGCCAGAAUUUUGGCAAUGAAAGAAGACACCCAGUCCCUCUGAAGGCUCCCAUCGCUGUAGUGUUCUGCACGUGCUGUUGAAAAUCAUGAACUGCUGCGGCUGUUUUCCCACCAUCUGCCUCCUGGUGCGUGCCCCUCCCCUCUGUGUAGAUCUGAGCCUGGAAAUCUGGAUAGUAGGCUGUUGACAAACUCCAUGGCUCUAUUACACUUUUCCUGAUCCACUCCCCCCCGCCCCCCCUCCCCCGCCAACCCCCUUAAAUCCUGAUGUUUCCCCAGGGUUCCAUCCUCAGCCCUUCUCUGACUCUAAACACCCUGCUGCUUGAAUUCAAUAAAAUGCUAUGAUUUCCUAAA
This is a long non-coding RNA of Mustela erminea (ermine), 1170 nucleotides long. RefSeq lists it as uncharacterized. NCBI's taxonomy places the organism in Eukaryota, Metazoa, Chordata, Mammalia, Carnivora, Mustelidae. The record is from RefSeq and is a predicted model, not a curated record. The transcript has 7 exons.